UAGUUAUAUAGUCUAAAGAGGAUAUUAAAUUGCAAAUUUAAAGGUAAAGUUAUUUUAUUACU
This 62-nucleotide transfer RNA is filed under the name Entiminae sp. ACP-2013. RNAcentral's name for it is "tRNA-Cys". Lineage: Eukaryota; Metazoa; Arthropoda; Insecta; Coleoptera; Curculionidae. The record is from RNAcentral.